GGCUAUUUGUCUUACUGAAACCCUCUUUUCCUACAACAUAUUCCCGUGCAUUCCCAACGCAUUUCUCCACCCUGGCAACACUCAGGAUUGGUCUCUCAGAAGCUGCACUCCCAAUGGGGAUAUUUGUUUAAGGGACUGCCCAGAGAGAUGUGCUUGAAGUGCCCUGGUCAGCACUGAGGUUCCCUCAAGGCCAAGAAUAGACAAGGCGGCCUCGCGAAGUCCUUCCUGGGCUUGGGCUUCUGGUUUGUGGAGGAAUAGGUGGAUGCAGCUGGUUGGAACACACAGUGCGCCUGUGUAGCAGAAGUGCUAAGUCAUGGCUUGAAGCAGUGAUGGAGCACCUGGCUGGUGGGAAGGUAGGGCCAACCCAGGGGAACUCAGGUGUAUGCAAUGAGUCUGAGUGACAGGAAGGGCUGGGGCCAGGAUCCACCCCUUCCCAGACCUCAUUUAAGGGUUCCCAGUGGAGGUGAGGGAUUCUUGAUGGGGACUCCUAUCUACCUGAGGCCUUCUAAAGUCUUUAAACAGUACUACAAGAUAGUGAAAAUACCCUGCAGAACCCCUCCAUGGAUAGCAGCCUCACAGUACAACUGCAGCAUCCACAAGUGGGAGGACGUGGAGGGCCCAAGUCAGAGAUCAAGUCAUACUAACACAUAUUUCUUCCCUUUGGAUUGCAAGUCAACCAGCCUGCAACUCUGCCACCUUAAGAUAGCUUCAGAAAACUGCAGGCUCCUGCUGGCCAGACUAGCCCUGACGCCUCCUCCAUCCUCUAUCUCCAACUUCCAUCUCCAUCCUUCACCCUGCGUCCUCUUGACGAUCCCAGAGCACAGAGCAGGAGCACACCCCGCUGAUGACAACUGGUUUUCCUGCAGAACUAUCAGUGGUUUGGAUGAUGAGUUUCCUCCUGAAAGGACCUGGUCCUUUUGGUGCCAGGACCAGGUGACACCGAUGGCUCUGCAGAUUUCUCCACCAUUUUCCUCCUUGUAGAUCCCAGCUGGCUCUGUGGAGGAGGUAUGCAUCAGCCAGAGAGCACAAACUGCCAUGAAGCUGAGCCUCUAUGGACGGCAGUGUCCUCAGAGCUUCAAGCUGUAAUUUAAGAACCAGUCGCAAGAGCUCUGUAGACCUUAAAUAUGAUCCUACAGAGCCAUAAUUAAGCAUCUGACUGAUCAGAAAAUAUUUAAUGCUUGCAACAGGUUUUCCUUCUCAGCCCCAUUAGAUAAAGCGAUACUGGUGGGAAAGUCCAGGGAGGCCGUUACCAGAGUUCAGCAGAAGGGCUAACGAGUCAGCAAACAAUGUUCCUUUUAGGCCCCGGGCUUCGGGAGUCCCAAAUUCCCAACAUUAGAACUAACACAUUUUAAAUUACUUCCCAAGUCCCAGCACUGGACUAUGGUUACGUUUUGGAGAGCAGCCAAGAGGUAGCUUAGGGCUGGUAACGAAUGCGGGCUGUGCUGUCCCAGUGGUGCUGCCCUAUGGGCCAGCCAUGGCCUAGGGUGCUCCAGGGCCAGCAGUGCCAGUGGGAGAGGGAAGGGAUUGUUGAGAUUGUCCCAGUCUGCUCUGCUUGGUGCAGCCUCGUCUUGAGCACUGGAUGAAGGACAUAAAGAGAGGGCAAGAGAUGUGAGGAGCAGCUGAGACCCCUUCAUUUGUUUGGCUCAGAGAAGAGGAGGCUGAGGGGAGGCCUUGUGGUGCCCAGCAGCUCUUCGUGGCCCUGCAGCUCCUCAUGGUGACCCUACAUCUCCUUCAUGGCAGCCCAACAGCUCCUUCAUGGCAGCCCAAAAGCUCCUCAUGGUGUCCCUACAUCUAUUUCAUAGCAGCCCUACAGCUCCUCAUGGAGGAAAGCAAGAGCUGUGUGGCCACAGCCCUACCACGGAUGGCCCUGCCAGCCUUCCCAUGAAGUGCCUACCCCCCCAGCCUUCCUAACGAAGGGGAAGCCCAUCCUGCCUCAUUAGGGGACUGGGAACAGCAGCAUUGUUUCCUGCAGGAUGGCUCCAACACACUGCUGGCUUGUGCUGGGGAUGCUGGAGCAGCGUGUGUUAAAUCAGGAAUCAAAUGUCUGACCAACAGAAUGAGAGGUGCCCCUGUCCCACCAGCU
This is a long non-coding RNA of Gallus gallus (chicken), 2083 nucleotides long. NCBI's taxonomy places the organism in Eukaryota, Metazoa, Chordata, Aves, Galliformes, Phasianidae. The record is from Ensembl.